This 453-nucleotide ribosomal RNA is filed under the name actinobacterium iRV16. RNAcentral describes it as "bacterial SSU rRNA". It matches the Rfam family "Bacterial small subunit ribosomal RNA", at positions 8 to 474 of the family's 1533-position model. Lineage: Bacteria; Bacillati; Actinomycetota; Actinomycetes. The record is from RNAcentral.
AGAGUUUGAUCCUGGCUCAGGACGAACGCUGGCGGCGUGCUUAACACAUGCAAGUCGAACGAUGAAGCCCAGCUUGCUGGGUGGAUUAGUGGCGAACGGGUGAGUAACACGUGAGUAACCUGCCCUUGACUCUGGGAUAAGCGCUGGAAACGGCGUCUAAUACCGGAUAUGACAACCGACGGCAUCGUCUGGUUGUGGAAAGAAUNUUGGUCAAGGAUGGACUCGCGGCCUAUCAGCUUGUUGGUGAGGUAAUGGCUCACCAAGGCGACGACGGGUAGNCGGCCUGAGAGGGUGACCGGCCACACUGGGACUGAGACACGGCCCAGACNCCUACGGGAGGCAGCAGUGGGGAAUAUUGCACAAUGGGCGAAAGCCUGAUGCAGCAACGCCGCGUGAGGGACGACNGGCUUCGGGUUGUAAACCUCUUUUAGCAGGGAAGAAGCGAAAGUGACG